Molecule: ribosomal RNA, 494 nt
Filed under: uncultured fungus
Lineage: Eukaryota; Fungi
Description: eukaryotic LSU rRNA
Rfam family: 5.8S ribosomal RNA (bases 142-295)
Source: RNAcentral
UCAUGCCCGAAAGGGUAGACCUCCCACCCUUGUGUAUUAUUACUUUGUUGCUUUGGCGAGCUGCCUUCGGGCCUUGUAUGCUCGCCAGAGAAAACCAAAACUCUUUUUAUUAAUGUCGUCUGAGUACUAUAUAAUAGUUAAAACUUUCAACAACGGAUCUCUUGGUUCUGGCAUCGAUGAAGAACGCAGCGAAAUGCGAUAAGUAAUGUGAAUUGCAGAAUUCAGUGAAUCAUCGAAUCUUUGAACGCACAUUGCGCCCCUUGGUAUUCCGGGGGGCAUGCCUGUUCGAGCGUCAUUUCAACCCUCAAGCUUAGCUUGGUAUUGAGUCUAUGUCAGUAAUGGCAGGCUCUAAAAUCAGUGGCGGCGCCGCUGGGUCCUGAACGUAGUAAUAUCUCUCGUUACAGGUUCUCGGUGUGCUUCUGCCAAAACCCAAAUUUUUCUAUGGUUGACCUCGGAUCACGUAGGGAUACCCGCUGAACUUAAGCAUAUCAAUA